UUAUAAAGCAUUGCACCCAGGGUCUGUUUCACCCAGACAUUGUACCUGGAGCUUUUCUGUUUGAUUAAAACUUGCCA
Molecule: non-coding RNA, 77 nt
Organism: Salmo salar (Atlantic salmon)
Lineage: Eukaryota; Metazoa; Chordata; Actinopteri; Salmoniformes; Salmonidae
Source: Rfam